Molecule: long non-coding RNA, 2212 nt
Filed under: Marmota monax (woodchuck)
Lineage: Eukaryota; Metazoa; Chordata; Mammalia; Rodentia; Sciuridae
Source: RNAcentral
GGGGCAGGCAGCAGAGAACGAGCCCAGGAUGUUUUUUAAUGCCCUGGGAGCACAGAGGAUAUGCCGGCUCUGAAGAGCUCCAAAGUUGGCCUCCUUCUCAUUGAAGUGCAAAGGUGAAUGUGGGACGGCAGACCUGGAGGUAGUUUAAGGUGGCUGUUUUCUCUACAAGAUGAAUUGUAAACAGAACCCACCUGUUCCCAUAAUGCACAGUACUUUCUUAAAUGCCAGAAAGCUCUUCCUUUUCCUUCUUCUCUGCCAGCCUCUGCCCUUCGAUUUUCCAGUGGCAUCCAGAACACUGCUUAUGCAUCUCCAAUGCAUUGCGGUUCUUAAGUCUGCUCUUGUACCUUACCAAUGUCGCCGUUGCUACAGUAUGCAGGAGAUGCAUCUCUUAUCGUUUUCAGAUUUUAACAAAGCACACCUUGUUCGCGAAGUGCACUUUCGCCAAGACAAUUCUAGACCAUAGCUUCACCAUGAUUUCCUUGAUAUUUUGCUGUUUUACUGAAUCCCAAGCAAAGGCACUAUUUGAAAAUUACAUUGUUACUAUUCUGAGGCCCAGAGUCUUGCAGAGUGCUGCUCCAUUUAUUAAGCUGUUGUCGCUUUGCUGCAAACUCACCCUGCCCAGUCCAGCCUUGCUCUGUGAUGCUAGGGACAGUCCUGUUGCACACCUCAUUUCUGCUUGUCUAGUUAGGCCCCGUCAGUAGGGGGCGCUAGAGGGAGAGGCCGCGAGGCAGGAGGAAGAAGGGACUUGCUCCAGCCUUGGCUUCCGAGCUUGUGGUUCUUGUGAGCAUCAGCUCAAUGAUGAUUUUUCACCCAUAGAGGCAGCUGGGGCCUCUUGGUUGCUAUUUUUAAUUUGUCCCAUAUUUGGAAAACCAGUCUCAUCAUGCCUCUGUGAGGGACACCCAGUGCCUCCCUCAAGGGCUGAGUCCCAAGUCCACUGAGCUCAUCAUGUCCAAGCUCAGGACACCAGCACAGAGUGGUUAGUGCCCUCUCUUCAGGUCCUAGGCUGCUAAUCUGAAUCCCAUAUCUCUAAGAAACUCACAAGCAACGGGCUGCUGGAAGCAGCUUGCCCUUCUGUGUCUGAGAACCCCUGCCUUCCCUUGCUAGAAAAUUUUCUCAUGAAACGGAAUUCCCUAAUGACAUUUUAUUUUCUGAUUAAUGUCUUGGACCAUGAGCUGAGUCAUUGAGGGUAGAGUGAUGGACAGGAAAAGAACAACAAUAUCCUCGGGGGGGGGCGCAUCUGUAGCAGUGUCAUGUGCUGUCCUCAGGCAAACCCUUGAUUUUCCUUCCAGGCACCAAAGUUUCAAUUAUUUAGAAAAUAGAUGCUUAGGGCAUUGGAAUAUGUAAUAAAAUUCAAUGUGUCCUUUUCCCCCACUGCUUAAUAUCAGAGGCACAGGCUUCAUUUAUAAGGAAACUGGAAGCAGCACUAAACAAAUCCAUUUCAUCAGCCUUAGACAACUGCCCAAGAGAAAGAAUGCUUUGAAAUACAUUUAUCUGAGAAUUCCACACAUUGUCCAACAACUCCACGGUCUGGUGAUUCCUGUCAUGAAUCACUUUGAAGUGGACAAGUCAUUCUUCAGAAAAUGUAUAGCUCAAGCAAACAUAUUUGUUCACUGAAACCUUUUGCCUUUGGCUGAGCACUGAGCCAAUUUCCCCCUGAAAACCUCUUCCUCCUCUGUGGUUUCUCUCUCCUGAGCAGGGCAGUGGUCAAUGACUUUAACAACAAAAGUGUAACUCUGUUGGGAAUUUGACGGACUGUCCUUUCUGCUCUCUGGUGGCCCACCAUGCUGAUACUUGCCCUUGGUUUAAGUUUCUUUUUUAAGCAAGGGUUUUGCUGUAGGCAGCUUGUUUGAGAGGUGAUUCCAGGAAAGAGAAGAGUCAGAUAGAGGAGUGGGGGUUGCCUCUGUGGGUAGGGGCUCCAUUCUGUCAGGACCUGGGGUUGCUGGGUGAUGAAUGUCGGUCAGAACUGCUCGUAGAACGUGGCCUGGGGCUGCAGUGUUUCUCCUGGGCUCAAAUUACCCGUGAGUUGAAGGCUUCCUGGGCCUGCUCACUGUCUUGUCCUUCUGAACUACAGUAGAGGGCUCAUGUGGCCACAUGGAAAGGCACAGCAUGACAAGAUGGGGGUGGGAAUGCCAGCAUGGCUCUCCUGGAAUUGUCCCUACAGCUGUGGCUCCAGUCAGAGGUAGCUGGGAUAAACAUGGUCACAAGGGAUGAG